GGGCCGGUAGCUCAGCUAGGUAGAGCGGCGGGCUCUUAACCCGUAGGUCCCGGGUUCGAAUCCCGGCCGGCCCGCCA
Molecule: transfer RNA, 77 nt
Filed under: Thermofilum pendens
Lineage: Archaea; Thermoproteati; Thermoproteota; Thermoprotei; Thermofilales; Thermofilaceae
Also listed under: 3 other names
Description: tRNA-Lys
Rfam family: tRNA
About the family: Transfer RNA (tRNA) molecules are approximately 80 nucleotides in length. Their secondary structure includes four short double-helical elements and three loops (D, anti-codon, and T loops).
Source: RNAcentral